UUAUUCAACUUCCUGGUGAUUCUCCACCACUUUAUGUAUCCAAAUCAAGCUUCUAACAAAGUGAUUCAUCCUGGUUUGAUUGGAACGACGAAGAAGCUGUGCUAUUCCCAAACUGGGAAACUGGAAUCACCUGAUUUGAAAGUGGGAUAACUUCUUCAUGCCAACUCCUAUUGUUAACUUGAAGAGUAGAAGUGGAGAAGCAAAGGAUGAGAGUUGAGUUGAGAAUGGUGCAAAGAUAGGGCAAGAGCUUAAGAGAUUGCCUAUCAAGAGUUAUGAAGUGUCUUAAGAUAGCUAGAAGUCUCUUAUGGUGGUUCUAAGCAAGGGAAAAGUCUAGGAAAGACUUAGAAGAGUGCUGAGGAGCAAAUGGACGAGUGUGCAAAGAUAGGGCAAGGCCGGUACGGCCAUGUACGGACCCAGUACGGAUCUGUACUGAUGGUGGACGUACCAGAUGGAGCAUACUCGGCCAUUUGUGAGUCUUAGGCUUGGUGCAAACUUAGGGUAUCAGUGUACGGACAUGGCAUGAUCCGUACAUGCUCUAAUGUUUGUGAUCAACCUAACUUGAGUCUCAAGGAAGAAGAGACUCGUGUGGCUUCAUGUAUAAAGGAGCCAUGAGGAUAUUCAAAUCCAAGAAGGGCGCAGAUGUCUUUAGCCUUCUCUUGUUACCGUUUGGAGAUAAGACAGGCUGGCUGUGCAAGCUGUCCAUGAGCUGUGCUUUGACUAUGUAUCUAGACAGAUACAUGGCAAGAUGAAGAGAAGCCUUAAAGCAUCCAAUCACACGCUAAAGAGAGACCAGCCAAUAAGAAGAACUAUCAUGAAGAUAAAGACUAGCAUAACUCUCUCCAUCUCAACCAUCCAAACUCCAAGAAGAUUAUGAGCCAUUAGAUUUAGGUUUUAUGUUAUUGCAAAUGUAAAAGCCUAUAUAAAGCUCAUAAUGUCGAUUGUAAACUCUUAAGAGAGUAUGGGGGGGUUUCCCCAUCUCCUUCAUAAUUAUAAAAGUGUGUUCUUGAUCAGAUUCCCUUAAUCUCCCCUUUCUUAGUCUCUAAUCUCUUAAUCUCUCAAAGUCUCUUUGUUUCUGAUUCAAGUUCAUACUAGUUUCAUCAGACCUCGUAUCCAACUAGUUCAAGACCUUAUCUUUGCCUUUAAUGGCUUUUCAUACACAUACACAGCCAGAGCUCUCAAAUCUCACACCUAUGAGAUUUAUUCAACUUCCUGGUGAUUCUCCACCACUUUAUGUAUCCAAAUAAAGCUUCUUACAAAGAGAUUCAUCCUGGUUUGAUUGGAACGACGAAGAAGCUGUGCUAUUCCCAAACUGGGAAACUGGAAUCACCUGAUUUGAAAGUGGGAUAACUUCUUCAUCCAAGCUCCUAUGAGAUUUAUUCAACUUCCUGUUGAUUCUCCACCACUUUAUGUAUCCAAAUCAAGCUUCUUACAAAGUGAUUCAUCCUGGUUUGUUUGGAAUGACGACGAAGCCGUUCUAUUACCAAACUGGGAAACUGGAAUCAACUGAUUUGAAAGUGGGAUAACUUCUUCAUGCCAACUCCUAUGAGAUUUAUUCAACUUCCUGGUGAUUCUCCACCACUUUAUGUAUCCAAAUCAAGCUUCUUACAAAGAUCCUAUGAGAUUUAUUCAACUUCCUGGUGAUUCUUCACCACUAUAUGUAUCCAAAUGAAGCUUCUUACAAAGAAAUUCUUCCUGGUUUGAUUGGAACGACGAAGAAGCUGUGCUAUUCCCAAACUGGGAAACUGGAGUCACCUGAUUUGAAAGUGGGAUAACUUCUUCAUGCCAACUCCUAUGAGAUUUAUUCAACUUCCUGGUGAUUCUCCACCACUUUAUGUAUCCAAAUCAAGCUUCUUACAAAGAAAUUCAUCCUGGUUUGAUUGGAACGACGAAGAAGCUGUGCUAUUCCUAAACUGGGAAACUAGAAUCACCUGAUUUGAAAGUGGGCUAACUUCUUCAUGCCAGCUCCUAUGAGAUUUAUUCAACUUCCUGGUGAUUCUCCACCACUUUAUGUGUCCAAAUCAAGCUUCUUACUGUUGAGAUGAGCUGAGUAUAUGGAUAUGAAGAGAUAAGGAGUUGAAGAGAAGAGGAGAUGAAGUACUUAGGGAAGUUUGGGAGAGUAUGGUACGGCC
RNAcentral lists this long non-coding RNA (2129 nucleotides) under Brassica napus (rape). Its description in RNAcentral is "long non-coding RNA (BNAP_LNC021229)". Lineage: Eukaryota; Viridiplantae; Streptophyta; Magnoliopsida; Brassicales; Brassicaceae. The record is from RNAcentral.